This 468-nucleotide ribosomal RNA is filed under the name uncultured bacterium. Its description in RNAcentral is "partial 16S ribosomal RNA". It matches the Rfam family "Bacterial small subunit ribosomal RNA", at positions 28 to 507 of the family's 1533-position model. The record is from RNAcentral.
GACGAACGCUGGCGGCGUGCUUAACACAUGCAAGUCGAACGGAAAGGCCCUGCUUUUGUGGGGUGCUUGAGUGGCGAACGGGUGAGUAACACGUGAGUAACCUGCCCUUGACUUUGGGAUAACUUCAGGAAACUGGGGCUAAUACCGGAUAGGAGCUCCUGCUGCAUGGUGGGGGUUGGAAAGUUUCGGCGGUUGGGGAUGGACUCGCGGCUUAUCAGCUUGUUGGUGGGGUAGUGGCUUACCAAGGCUUUGACGGGUAGCCGGCCUGAGAGGGUGACCGGCCACAUUGGGACUAAGAUACGGCCCAGACUCCUACGGGAGGCAGCAGUGGGGAAUAUUGCACAAUGGGCGGAAGCCUGAUGCAGCAACGCCGCGUGCGGGAUGACGGCCUUCGGGUUGUAAACCGCUUUCGCCUGUGACGAAGCGUGAGUGACGGUAAUGGGUAAAGAAGCACCGGCUAACUACGUG